GAUGAACGCUGGCGGCGUGCCUAACACAUGCAAGUCGAACGACCGGACGAGUAGCUUGCUUCUCUGAUGUUAGCCGCGCACGGGUGAGUAACAUGUGGACAACCUAUCUAUAAGACUGGAACACCUCCAGGAAACCGGUGCUACUACAGGCUAAUAUUUUGAACCGCAUGGUUCCAAUCUGACCUACGGUCUUGCUGUCACCUGUAGAUGGAUCCGCGCUGCAUUAGCUAGUUGGUAAGGUAACGGCUUACCAAGGAAACGGUCCAUAACCGACCUGAGAAGGUGGACCGCCACACCGGAACUUAGACACGGGCCAGGCUCCUUCGGGAGGCAAGAGUAGGGAAUCUUCCGCAAUUGGCGGAAGCCUGGCGGAACAACGCCGGGGGGGUGGUGGAAGUCUUCGGAGCGGAAAACUCUGUUAUUAGGGAAAGACAUAUGUGGAAGUAACUGGGCACAUCGUGGCGGGACCUGGACAGAGAGGCACGGCUAACUACGGG
RNAcentral lists this ribosomal RNA (497 nucleotides) under uncultured bacterium. Its description in RNAcentral is "partial 16S ribosomal RNA". It matches the Rfam family "Bacterial small subunit ribosomal RNA", at positions 28 to 507 of the family's 1533-position model. The record is from RNAcentral.